This 253-nucleotide ribosomal RNA is filed under the name uncultured bacterium. Its description in RNAcentral is "partial 16S ribosomal RNA". It matches the Rfam family "Bacterial small subunit ribosomal RNA", at positions 524 to 776 of the family's 1533-position model. The record is from RNAcentral.
UACGUAGGGUGCAAGCGUUAAUCGGAAUUACUGGGCGUAAAGCGUGCGCAGGCGGUUCUAUAAGACAGAUGUGAAAUCCCCGGGCUCAACCUGGGAACUGCAUUUGUGACUGUAGAGCUGGAGUGCGGCAGAGGGGGAUGGAAUUCCGCGUGUAGCAGUGAAAUGCGUAGAUAUGCGGAGGAACACCAAUGGCGAAGGCAAUCCCCUGGGCCUGCACUGACGCUCAUGCACGAAAGCGUGGGGAGCAAACAGG